UAUUGAAAGUAUAGUUUCACCUCAGCACAUUGUUACGUCCCUCUGCAGCCCCUAAUCUGCUCAGUGUGUUCAGCUGGUGCUAAUUGGCCACACCUAGUCAGGUGUGGAUAAAAGCAUACCUGAAGCAAGCUUUCCGGGGAGCUCACUAGUCUUUGCCUUGGUGGCACCAGCAAUUUUAGCCAACCUGAUAGUCCAUUUUAAGAUAAACCUCUUUUCACCUACACUCUGGUAUUCGUCUCCUUUUUUUAUGUUGCGGCUUUUGAGCCGGGUCGUAACAUAAGUGGGGGCUCAUCCAGGAGCUUUGGACAUUUUAGUGGAGACUGGAUGUCAGUUUGUUUUGCUUUUAAGUGGGUGAGUGAUGGUGGUCACUGUAAUUGAGCAAACUCCCUUUUAGUAAGUGUGUUUCAGCUGGGUGGCUGUGCUGCCCUUCCAUCGAAGCACUUGUUUGUUGUUUUGCUUUUUUUUUUUAGUUUAUUGUGUUUGGUGGUUAUCCUGGGUGGGGGUACGCUUCAGGGUUUGGUGAGAGACUGUACCCCGGUCUGCUGCCAAUCCUUGAGUUUGCGUUUAAAGGUCCCUCGAGCCCGGUACACCACUGAAGACUAGACAGGUAAAGUUUUAUUGUUUUUUAGCAUUUUACAAUUAUGUCUGUUUUGUAGCACAUAGAAAUGUUUAGUUAAUAUUUACAGACAGACACAUUUUCCCUGUAACUGUGUUUUUACUCCAACAUUUGUUGAAAAUGUAAUUUAUGAAAUGCUGAGCAGCAUUUCUAGUAUGUGGAAUAUUUUUGUCACCCCACUGUGCUAAUGUGAUUAAAUACUAAUAAUUAUUACUAAACAAAUUCAAUAAUAAAUCAAUAAUAACUAUUUGUUGAUUGAACUAUAAUGUAAGCGCAGUGCUGGUGUGCAGGGGCUUUAUAUGCCUUGUGGGUAGGGUUGCCAACCGUCCCUUAAAAUACGGAAUCGUCCCGUAUUUCGAAACAAAAGUACACGUCCCGUAUUGAGCU
Molecule: long non-coding RNA, 1003 nt
Organism: Astatotilapia calliptera (eastern happy)
Lineage: Eukaryota; Metazoa; Chordata; Actinopteri; Cichliformes; Cichlidae
Source: Ensembl